CUGGAAUGUUAGCAAGCUAUUUGCUGGAAAAAAUGCCCACAACAGGCCUAAUGUUGAUCACAUUAAUGCGUUUGAGUGAGUAUGGAGUGCAAAUGAUUGAAAAUGCUUCCAGAUCCCCGUUGCAAGGGACAAAGCAGGCUCUGUUCUCUGAUCUGAUGGUCAUUUUUUUUUCCAGCGGAGGAUGUGGGGCAGGAAGAGGGAAGAGGGCCAAUCUCUGUCUAAUGGUUCCAAACAGGGCCCGGGCCCGGCCCUCUGGAUGCUGACGAGUGGGAAAUGAAACACAGAUGGGUCAGAUGGGUAAGGAGAGGGGGAUUACAGGUCAGGCCAAAGAGUUGGAAUAAAUUAAGUGCUUAUGAGGUACAGAAUGGCACAUUGUUUAAGUGAAUGGACAGGGAAAAAACAUUCCAGCAUUGUUCAUCCGCUGAGGGAGCCCAACGCUCCUCUUCCCAGACGAGCCCAGGCCACAGAGCGCCUCCUCCUCGCCAGGAUGUUUGUGACCCACAGACUGAAAACGCGGCCAGGCGGUGCCCGAAACAUUCUCCCAGCCUCCAAAGAGGCCAGUUUGGCUUUAUUACACGGGAGAUGUAAUUUAUUGGGAGAAAUGUUUGGGUUCGUGUGUCGGAUGGUGGAGAGUCAGAUUUGGAGUUCCCUGGGGAUCUCCGAGGAGAAGGUGUGUUAAGGAAAUCACCAAGUCCCAGAGUGUAGACGAGCCCGAUCCCUUCGCAGCAGAAGCAGAUGUUCACAAAGCAACUGACCAGGCCAGGUGUGUCCUUCAAGGCUACCUGCAUUCAACAGAGGCGACCACAGCCCAGACCCAUCCUUCUUGGGAGAAUUUCAAGAUGCUCCACAUAGUGGUGCCUAGCGCUCUGUGCACUCAGAGGCUAGAAGAAAAGAUACAGAGGUCCUCUUUCAAGGAGAGGCCCUGAUGUUUCUAUUCUUACAAGGAUUCUUUGGUAAUAAAUACAGUGAAAACACCGUCACCGUAGAGAUAAUACUUAAUGCUCAAGAGGUACGUAGCAGAGAUUGCAUUCCAAUCAAGGACUUCCGUAACCCUGUCUACCAAGCCAGUAUCACCUGUAGGCCAGUUCACCUUCAUCCAGUCACUUUACAGCACUUGAGUGUUUGCUGUCCGCUCAAUUAAAAUCCUACUCUGGUGGGAAAAACCAGAUUUCCAAAUGGGGACUUUAUUGAUUCAAUAAAAUUUAAGAAAUUCUGCUUAUGGAAAAACUCAUUAACCCAAACUAAUAAAUACGAGUUUACCCU
This 1263-nucleotide long non-coding RNA is filed under the name Sus scrofa (pig). Its description in RNAcentral is "lncRNA (ENSSSCG00035007734.1)". Lineage: Eukaryota; Metazoa; Chordata; Mammalia; Artiodactyla; Suidae. The record is from RNAcentral.